GGGGCUGUAGCUCAGCUGGGAGAGCGCUUGCAUGGCAUGCAAGAGGUCGUCGGUUCGAUCCCGUCCAGCUCCA
Molecule: transfer RNA, 73 nt
Filed under: marine sediment metagenome
Rfam family: tRNA
About the family: Transfer RNA (tRNA) molecules are approximately 80 nucleotides in length.
Source: RNAcentral